Suricata suricatta (meerkat) is the source of this 320-nucleotide long non-coding RNA. RefSeq lists it as uncharacterized. The transcript has 3 exons. The record is from RefSeq and is a predicted model, not a curated record. NCBI's taxonomy places the organism in Eukaryota, Metazoa, Chordata, Mammalia, Carnivora, Herpestidae.
AACACAUUGACAUCUUAGGAGCUGAUGUUUUUAAAUCAUGGAUGAAGCAGAAAUUUGAUACUGAGACUAGCUAGCAUAAAAGGAAGGACAUUUUUUGAAUGCCUAGAAUAGAAUGGCUUGGUCUCUAAAAACCGGGUGUCAGAGAUAGACUCUUCAGGACACAAUUCAGGAUGAAUAGAGAAUCCUGAGGAGAGGGAGAGAGGUGGGGACUAGCUGGUCAAUGGAGCAGGUGGGACACACACUCCAUUCAUGAAGUUUGCUCUGAUGUGGGUCCAGUUCAUGGCUUCCCCAAUUACAAUAGUAACUUUACAGGUCCCUGA